UGAACUCGCUGUGAAGAUGCAGUGUACCCGCGGCAAGACGGAAAGACCCCGUGAACCUUUACUAUAGCUUGACACUGAACAUUGAGCCUUGAUGUGUAGGAUAGGUGGGAGGCUUUGAAGUGUGGACGCCAGUCUGCAUGGAGCCGGCCUUGAAAUACCACCCUUUAAUGUUUGAUGUUCUAACGUUGGCCCCUGAUCGGGGUUGCGGACAGUGUCUGGUGGGUAGUUUGACUGGGGCGGUCUCCUCCUAAAGAGUAACGGAGGAGCACGAAGGUUGGCUAAUCCUGGUCGGACAUCAGGAGGUUAGUGCAAUGGCAUAAGCCAGCUUGACUGCGAGCGUGACGG
This 345-nucleotide ribosomal RNA is filed under the name Escherichia coli. Its description in RNAcentral is "partial 23S ribosomal RNA". It matches the Rfam family "Bacterial large subunit ribosomal RNA", at positions 2043 to 2387 of the family's 2925-position model. The record is from RNAcentral. Lineage: Bacteria; Pseudomonadati; Pseudomonadota; Gammaproteobacteria; Enterobacterales; Enterobacteriaceae.